RNAcentral lists this ribosomal RNA (325 nucleotides) under uncultured Chloroflexota bacterium. RNAcentral describes it as "bacterial SSU rRNA". It matches the Rfam family "Bacterial small subunit ribosomal RNA", at positions 28 to 351 of the family's 1533-position model. The record is from RNAcentral. Lineage: Bacteria; Bacillati; Chloroflexota.
GAUGAACGCUGGCGGCGUGCUUAACACAUGCAAGUUGAACGGGAGGCUUGAUUUCGGUCGAGCCGAGAGUAGCGAACGGGUGAGUAACACGUAGCUCAUCUACCCUGGAGAGGGGGAUAACGGUUGGAAACGACCGCUAAUACCCCGUACGCUUACGGUUCGUAGGAAGCCGUAAGGAAAAGCCCUGGUGCUCUGGGAUGAGGCUGCGGUCCAUCAGCUAGUUGGUAGGGUAACGGCCUACCAAGGCGAAGACGGAUAGGGGGGCCUGAGAGGGUGACCCCCCACACUGGCACUGAGAUACGGGCCAGACUCCUACGGGAGGCAG